GAGGGAGCUUGCUUCCUUGAGACCGGCGCACGGGUGCGUAACGCGUAUGCAAUCUGCCCCCUACAGGGGAAUAGCCCAGGGAAACUUGGAUUAAUGCCCCAUAGCCCAUAUUGAGAGCAUUCGAUAUAUGGUAAAGAUUUAUCGGUAGGGGAUGAGCAUGCGUACCAUUAGCUAGUUGGUGUGGUAACGGCACACCAAGGCAACGAUGGUUAGGGGCCCUGAGAGGGGGAUCCCCCACACUGGUACUGAGACACGGACCAGACUCCUACGGGAGGCAGCAGUGAGGAAUAUUGGACAAUGGGCGGGAGCCUGAUCCAGCCAUGCCGCGUGCAGGAAGACUGCCCUAUGGGUUGUAAACUGCUUUUUUACGGGAAGAAACACCCCCACGUGUGGGGGCUUGACGGUACCGUACGAAUAAAGAUCGGCUAACUCCGUGCCAGCAGCCGCGGUAAUACGGAGGAUCCAAGCGUUAUCCGGAAUCAUUGGGUUUAAAGGGUCCGUAGCGGACGUCUAAGUCAGUGGUGAAUUCUGCAGCUCAACUGUAGAACUGCCAUUGAUACUGGUCGUCUUGAAUCGUUGUGAAGUGGCUAGAAUAUGUAGUGUAGCGGUGAAAUGCUUAGAUAUUACAUAGAAUACCGAUUGCGAAGGCAGGUCACUAACAACGCAUUGACGCUGAUGGACGAAAGCGUGGGGAGCGAACAGGAUUAGAUACCCUGGUAGUCCACGCCGUAAACGAUGGAUACUAGCUGUCCGGCCUGCAUUGGUAGGCUGGGUGGCCAAGCGAAAGUGAUAAGUAUCCCACCUGGGGAGUACGUUCGCAAGAAUGAAACUCAAAGGAAUUGACGGGGGCCCGCACAAGCGGUGGAGCAUGUGGUUUAAUUCGAUGAUACGCGAGGAACCUUACCAGGGCUUAAAUGUAGUCUGACAGGAUUGGAAACAGUCUUUUCUUCGGACAGAUUACAAGGUGCUGCAUGGUUGUCGUCAGCUCGUGCCGUGAGGUGUCAGGUUAAGUCCUAUAACGAGCGCAACCCCUGUCGUUAGUUGCCAGCAUGUAAAGAUGGGAACUCUAACGAGACUGCCGGUGCAAACCGUGAGGAAGGUGGGGAUGACGUCAAAUCAUCACGGCCCUUACGUCCUGGGCCACACACGUGCUACAAUGGCAGGUACAAUGGGCAGCCACUGCGCAAGCAGGAGCGAAUCCACAAAACCUGUCUCAGUUCGGAUCGGGGUCUGCAACUCGACCCCGUGAAGCUGGAAUCGCUAGUAAUCGGAUAUCAGCCAUGAUCCGGUGAAUACGUUCCCGGGCCUUGUACACACCGCCCGUCAAGCCAUGGAAGCUGGAAGCACC
RNAcentral lists this ribosomal RNA (1348 nucleotides) under Aequorivita sp. VBW095. Its description in RNAcentral is "bacterial SSU rRNA". It matches the Rfam family "Bacterial small subunit ribosomal RNA", at positions 72 to 1421 of the family's 1533-position model. The record is from RNAcentral. Lineage: Bacteria; Pseudomonadati; Bacteroidota; Flavobacteriia; Flavobacteriales; Flavobacteriaceae.